UACAGAGGGUGCGAGCGUUGUCCGGAAUCACUGGGCGUAAAGGGCGCGUAGGCGGCGCGGUAAGCGUGCGGUGAAAGCCCGGGGCUCAACCCCGGGUCGGCCGUGCGGACUGCCGGGCUGGAGUACUGUAGAGGCAGGUGGAAUUCCGGGUGUAGCGGUGGAAUGCGUAGAGAUCCGGAAGAACACCGGUGGCGAAGGCGGCCUGCUGGGCAGUAGCUGACGCUGAAGCGCGACAGCGUGGGGAGCAAACAGG
Molecule: ribosomal RNA, 253 nt
Filed under: uncultured bacterium
Lineage: Bacteria
Description: partial 16S ribosomal RNA
Rfam family: Bacterial small subunit ribosomal RNA
Source: RNAcentral